Non-coding RNA from Lolium perenne, 3118 nucleotides. The record is from RefSeq and is a predicted model, not a curated record. NCBI's taxonomy places the organism in Eukaryota, Viridiplantae, Streptophyta, Magnoliopsida, Poales, Poaceae.
GCUGAGAUGAUGAACUUCUGAUUGCAAAUUACGGGAAAAAGGUUUGCUCACCAUCUAUGUGCACGAAGCUGGCACGCUGUGGUGUUGAUGUGAACCGAAGACACAUUUUAUGCUUUCAGCUGAUCAUAUCUUGGCCCCGCCACGCUGCACCAUGCCAAUAUGUAUACAUUUGCCUCCCUCCUAGGAAAUGUUCGUUUGGUUGCAUAUUGCCUAGACAUUUUUACAUUAUGAUCCUCUGUUACCUAUUUGGUAGCUCACCUGCAAAGAAGUUUUAGAUGAUCUGGGUACUGGGCAAUGUUCUUUAGUUUGUAUAAUGGCUAUACAUUUUUAGGGCAGUUCUAUGUCUCCGGUUUGUCCAGUGUUGGAAAAUUGAGAAAUUGCUUUCGAAGUUGAUCACAGUAUUGGAAAGUAUCAGGAGUUUGAUGUUUUUUGAGUCUGAUUCUUGGUGACAUCGCAGGCAUUAAGUUUGGCGCUCUUUUCCCUUAGUAGUAUGAUUAUUGACAAGGCAUUCAUUUGGAAUUAGUUCUUUAAGUGAUGGUCACUCUUUCUGUAUAAUGAUAAACAAGCCUUUGCAUUUUUCACUUUCAACCUAGCUAACUAUAGAUUUCAGGGAGUGCUGGAGCAGAACACAUAGAUAUCACUUAUGGUGUGGUGAUGUCGAGCUGUUUGGAAUAGACCACGGAUAUGCUAGAGUGUUUCGAUGCUGCUAGAGAGCUCUGUAUUGAAAAAUCUUUUGUUCACGAUGCCAAGAUGACAGUUGGGUGCACAAAACCAAGAGAAACGGAACAUGCAUAUGAAAGCAGUCUGCAGUGAAGAUAUGUUUGAAAACAGAAAGGUGAGAAUCUGCUUGAUUGUUGCGUAUGCAGGCUGUGUAGAGCGAGUUCCUUUCGUAAAAAUGCUGGAAAUUGGAUGUCUUGGCUACUGCUACAGUUACUUGUGCUGCCACCACCAGUCCAAUUUACAUGCUAGCUGUAGCAUCGGGAGCCAUAAGGGAGCCUUUGUUGUUGUUCAGAUAACAAGCAAGGCCGGCAUCCUUGACAAUGGUUAUCAUUGGCGCAAGUGUGGUUAGAAGGCCGCUAAAGUAAAUCCAAACCCAAGGAGCUACUAUAAAUGUAUCCACCCUGGUUGUUCAGUGCUCAAGCAUGUGGAAAGAGCGUCACAUGAUAUGGAAUUUGUUAUCAUGACAUACGAGGGAAAACCCACCCAUGAAGUUUGAGCAGCCAGAAAUAGCGGGCAUGUGAGCUCUGGUUCUGGCACUCGCAGAACGCCACCAUCUCCACCUUAGGUAAAUCUCUCACAGCGAUGGUAUUUAUCUUCUAGCAGAUGGUAUUUAUUCAUUAUGAUACUGAGAUGAACUAAGAUUCUCUCCAUGGGCUUCCUGAAAUUAAGAUUAUAAAUCACAUGCACAAUAAUUUUCUUCACAUCUUGCAGCAGGAAGGUGUGAGUCCACAACCCAGUGCUUAAUUUGUAUGUCUGUUGGAGUAGUAAAAUCUGAAGCAAUUUCGAAAAAUGAAGCCCUGAGACAUGCAGAAAACUUGAAAUUGCAGCAUGGUCAUAUUAUCCCCUUCUAACACAAAAACAUCGUGUGCUUGCACAAUUUGGAUCCUUUUUAUCUUUUUUCUUCUAGACUAGAUGUUUAGUGUCUGCAACUCGGUAUGUAGAAUAUAGAAAAUAGCAAAAUGGAUGGUCUUUCCUUCUAAAUUUCUGUGUUGUCUUAGCGCACACUUUCUAAAACAUAUUCAGGUUGAUUUAUUCAAGGCAGAAAGGAACGGUUAGGAGAUUCAUGUGUGCGUCUAGGAAAUCAUCCAGCGUCUAACUUUUCUAUAAGAUAUGAACUUCUUCUAUUUGAUUCGGUGAUAGGUUCCUAUUUUUGUUUCUGACCAAAACGUAGGCACUCGUUUAUUGGCCCAGACUUCAGAAUAGAUAGCUGAAUGUUGGACUUAUAUUUCUCUUAGUUCCUUAUAAUUAAAUAUACAUUAGCUUUCCAUAAUUUCUUUCAGAUCAUCAUUUCAGUACUCGCAAUAAGCAAAGGUUGAUGGACAGUACUCGCAAUAGACUGGUAUUCAUGUUGCUGAACAGUUUAGAUCUUAAUGACAUGCUAAGCAAAGAGAGAACUGCAGUUUGUGAUUAAUCGAACUGCUGACCAUGUACAUGUCAUGUGUAAAACUGAAACUAAUGAACAUGAGCUAAGUGUUCUCUUAAUUGGCAUUAUCACAAUUCUGAAUACCAAGAGUUCCACUCAUCCACGCGGCCACGAGACGGACCUCUUGUUUCUGGUACGCUCCUUCUUCCUACCAGAUAGGAAUCUAGAAUUCAUACUGGUUGGGCAAAAAUUGGGAGCACUUGAUUUUGGGUUUACUGUUACUUGGUAUUUAGGUUUUCAUCAGCGGGUUCUCGUGUGACUCCUCGGGGAGGGUGGUUUGGGUGCGUGUUCAAGGGCAUGCUGGGCAAUAUCCUGCUCGAUGACAACUUCGAAGAUUAGGUUAUGUACUUCUUACACUGCAGAAAGCAAAACUGCGGCGAUAUUUCAGAAAAUAUUUGUUGAUGUGUGCAUGGUAUGUUGAGUUCCUGAUGAGUCCUGGAUGUCCUGUUCAUAAUCCAGGUCGCUUGUGAUGGGCACAUUUCGGUACAUCAUCUUUACAGGAGAUGGAUGAUGUACAUCUCACCAUGGACCCUCUUCGAUUGUCUUUCAAGUUGUUAGCAUUCUAUACAGCCUGGCCCUAAACAAUGUGGACCUAACCAACGACGUGCAACCUAGGAUAAGCCAUAUGUCUCGAACAGGGCGGACGUUGGGCAGUUCCGGAGGAUGGCCUUCGACAUCCAUGAUUUUGGCUCCAAGUAUACCUGCUUCAGAGUUGAUGUUUCCUAAUAAUGGGGUAUAUAAUACACCCUUUGGUAUUAUGCUAUCUAUAUGUUCGUCGUGGUUAGUUGCUCUGAUAUGAAUUCCUCAAGAAAGUUCAGUAGCAUAGUUCUUGUAUAAUCUUAUAAGAGCAAUUUUCAUGAAACAGCGUGAUGCAAGAAUACAAUUUCAGUCAUAGUUUAAGCUAUCAUCUGUAUAUGGAAUCGUAGGGACAGUUUAGUAUACCAUUUAUCUCUAACUGACCAUGUACUCUCGUCC